This 612-nucleotide ribosomal RNA is filed under the name uncultured Acetobacter sp. RNAcentral's name for it is "partial 16S ribosomal RNA". Lineage: Bacteria; Pseudomonadati; Pseudomonadota; Alphaproteobacteria; Acetobacterales; Acetobacteraceae. The record is from RNAcentral.
CGGGGUCUCAUCAGGGUACCGUCAUCAUCGUCCCGGAUCGAAAAGUGCUUUACAAUCCGAAGACCUUCUUCACACACGCGGCAUUGCGGGAUCAGGGUUGCCCCCAUUGUGCAAUAUUCCCCACUGCUGCCUCCCGUAAGAGUCGACACUGCUGCCUCCCGUAGGAGUAGAAAAUGGGAAGCGGAAGAGGAAAAAGUCGGGAAAGCAGAACCAAUCAGGGGAGAAGGUGAGGGCGCCAGGAAAAAAACGGGUAAAGAGGGGCAUGGGGUAAAAUAAAAUUUUGACGAGCUUGUUUUUGGGGGGUCGGGGGUAAAAAAUUUUACUUUUUUUGUUUUCACGCUCACAUGCAGAGUCGCCCUAGUGCCGCGAGUGCCCUGGUGUCGCUUGGUUGUGGCCUUUUGAUCCGCUUCCAUGGGGUGUGGGCUCGACAAAUGUCUCUUUUGGGGGGGCACAAAAAGGCUGCAUAGGAAAGGGGUUCGCGUGGCGCGUUGUUUUCCCCUUGACCCCAGCCAUCUUUUUCCGGUCUUUCCUUCGCNNAGGUUUCCNUCCUCCCCUUCUUUGCUUUGUUUCGCUAAAUAAUACACAUAAUCUUAUAUUAUUUUUUUUCCUUUU